GACGAACGCUGGCGGCGUGCUUAACACAUGCAAGUCGAACGGAGUUUAAAUCAGUAGUUUACUACAGAUUUAAACUUAGUGGCGGACGGGUGAGUAACACGUGGGCAACCUGCCCUAAAGAGGGGGAUAACACCGAGAAAUCGGUGCUAAUACCGCAUAAAAUUAGAGCUUCGCAUGGAGCUUUAAUCAAAGGAGUAAUCCGCUUUAGGAUGGGCCCGCGUCUGAUUAGCUAGUUGGUGAGGUAGAGGCUCACCAAGGCGACGAUCAGUAGCCGAUCUGAGAGGAUGACCGGCCACACUGGAACUGAGACACGGUCCAGACUCCUACGGGAGGCAGCAGUGGGGAAUAUUGCACAAUGGGGGGAACCCUGAUGCAGCAACGCCGCGUGGAGGAAGAAGGUUUUCGGAUUGUAAACUCCUGUCUUUUGGGACGAUAAUGACGGUACCAAAAGAGGAAGCCACGGCUAACUACGUG
This 474-nucleotide ribosomal RNA is filed under the name uncultured bacterium. Its description in RNAcentral is "bacterial SSU rRNA". It matches the Rfam family "Bacterial small subunit ribosomal RNA", at positions 28 to 507 of the family's 1533-position model. The record is from RNAcentral.